Molecule: long non-coding RNA, 631 nt
Organism: Homo sapiens (human)
Lineage: Eukaryota; Metazoa; Chordata; Mammalia; Primates; Hominidae
Source: Ensembl
GACAGGGGCCAGGGCUGGAGUUGGGACUGGAUUCAGAGAGAGAGUCAACGUCGGCAGAGCGAGAAUGGCAGGCCCAGCAGAGGAUGACCCAGAGCAGCAGCAGCAAGAAGCCCACGAGACCGUUGCAGACGAUGGCGAUGAGGGCCCCCUGGGAGAUGGCUGCCCCCAUGACAGGCAGCACCCUCAGACCAGCACAGACAGUGGAGCUGCCUCAAUGGACUCCAGCCAGCCCGACCAGGAGACCUCCAGAGGCGCCAGCUUGCACAGAGGGAACUUUGUGGAGGCCCUGGCAGGCAUGUGCAGGCUCUGUGCGUCCAGGGCUGUGUGCCUCUAUGUGGGGCUGCCUCUCUGGGUCAGGCCAGUGAUUGUCACCUAUUCUGAUCCGGCCGUCUUCUCAUCCCGCUCUACAUGCUCUCCUUGGAGGAUCACAUCCCUGAAGCUAUAUCAUGAAGACUCCCAGUGCUCCCAAGUCUAGCCUUAACUUCUCUCUGGAAUCCUAGACUCAUAUAACUAAGUGCCUACUGUAAUCGGGGCAGUAUUGAUUCCUGGUUCACUUACUAACUUUGUGAUCUUGAGCAAGUUACUAAAUCUCUCUUAGCCUCAGCUUCCUCAUCUGUAAAAUGGUUGUAAU